RNAcentral lists this unclassified non-coding RNA (205 nucleotides) under Hevea brasiliensis (rubber tree). Lineage: Eukaryota; Viridiplantae; Streptophyta; Magnoliopsida; Malpighiales; Euphorbiaceae. The record is from RNAcentral.
AAGCCACUAACCAACUAGGAGCUUAUCUUCCUUACCUAAGAUUGUCAAAGUGGUGUGGACACCAGCCAGUGAGAGUUUGUCUGUUCUGUAUAGUGUUGCUCAGCGAGAUCUCAUCCGUAUUAGUAAUAUCAUCAUCGCGGAUGUAAUAACUUUUGUCUGAAAUGCCAUGUAGAAUCUUGAAGAAUAUGCUAACUUGUAAGUUAUU